This is a long non-coding RNA of Bos taurus (domestic cattle), 1210 nucleotides long. NCBI's taxonomy places the organism in Eukaryota, Metazoa, Chordata, Mammalia, Artiodactyla, Bovidae. The record is from Ensembl.
AUACAGAAGAGCAUACCCGAGGAUCCACGGGGGAUUUGGAAUGGGAACAAGAGCGCGUACACACACAGCCGCUCUUCCAUCUUUAUCCCCCUCAGCCUUCCCACUGGACGGGACCUGGAUGUGUCCCCCAUCCUGAACUCCAGCAGGAUGUUCAUCCCCUUUAUAAGAAAAGACAUGAGCUUACUUCCUCUCUCAACUCUCUCUGCCAGCUGUGACUGACAACAUCCCAGGCAGCUGGUUUCCUCUCUGAGGAUGCAGCGUGUGGAUGGACCCUGAGCACAGCCUCUGGAUACAGACCAGAGCCACACAGGAUGCUAGGAUGGAGGCAUGAGGGUCAGCCGUCCGCCCAUUUCACAGAGGACCUCACUGAGGCCAGAGAGAUGAUACACUUUGCCUGGGAUUUCCCAGGGCCAAGGACUGCUGCAGGACAAAAGAAGGAGACAACAUGGCCCCAAAGGAACGACAGCGUUUGUCCCCAGUCUGAGUGGGACAUGUGUGUUGCCAUGGUUUAAGCCCCUACCUGAGGGCAUGCCAACUGCUAGGUAAGGAAAUCCGGGCCUGGCUAGAAGGAAGCAAUUGGAUGAAAUAGAAGAAAGUCAUGCAGGAGCCAGACCUCUGAGGUUCUGUCCUCACCUCUGGCACACUCCAGAGCCAGGAAGCAAAGCUUGACCAUCUGUGCCUCCGUGCCCCCGUCUCUUAAGGCAGGAUGAUAAUAGCUCAGCUGUGUUUCUGCUCCACAGUCAACAUGAUAUUCUGGUCUAGGGGUCAGAAGAGAUCAGAAGACCUAGGUUUGAAUCCCUGCCUCACCCCACAUGACUUGGGCAAAGGCUGUGGAACUACUGGAGGCUGUUUCCUCAUCUGUAAAAUCGAAACAUCUUAUCUACUUAAAAGGCUGCUAGAAGGACCAAAUGUGAUGUUGCCUAGGAAACAGAGCAGGACACAGAUGUGAGCGAUCUGGGCUUUUGGAGUUUGGGGAACUUCACCCUUGCCUCAUGUCAAGCCAUGCAGACCUUCCCAUCCUAAUCCACGGCUACUCGCUACCCCCGACCCCCAGCACCACCACUUCAUUCAAUUCAGGCUGCUGUAACAAACUAUCAUAGAUUAGGGGGAAAGGUGCUUAAACAAUAGACAUUUAUCUCUCCCAUUUCUGGAGGCUGGAAGUUCGAGAUCAAAACACCAACAGAUCCCUUCUGGCAAGAACCCUCUUCCU